AUUGAACGCUGGCAGCAGGCCUAACACAUGCAAGUCGAGCGAGCGGCGGACGGGAGAGUAAUGUAUGGAGACUGACCGAGAGAGGGGGAUAACUACUGGAAACGAUGGCUAAUACCGAAUACUAUCGGAAAACCCAUAGGGGAUUAGCUAGUAGGGGGGGUAAAGGCUCACCUAGGCGACGAUCUCUAGCUGGUCUGAGAGUAUGAUCAGCCACACUGGGACUGAGACACGUCCCAGACGCCUACGGAGGCAGCAGGGGGGAAUAUUGCACAAUGGGCGCAAGCCUGAUGCAGCCAUGCCGCGUGUAUGAAGAAGGCCUUAGGGUUGUAAAGUACUUUCAGCGGGGAGGCGUUACCCGCAGAAGAAGCACCGGCUAACUCCGUGCCAGCAGCCGCGGUAAUUC
This 403-nucleotide ribosomal RNA is filed under the name uncultured bacterium. Its description in RNAcentral is "partial 16S ribosomal RNA". It matches the Rfam family "Bacterial small subunit ribosomal RNA", at positions 30 to 526 of the family's 1533-position model. The record is from RNAcentral.